GCUCCCUUCGUCUAGCGGUCAGGACGCCGGCCUCUCACGCCGGUAACAGGGGUUCGAUCCCCCUAGGGAGCGCCA
RNAcentral lists this transfer RNA (75 nucleotides) under Arenicellales bacterium. Its description in RNAcentral is "tRNA-Glu". It matches the Rfam family "tRNA". Rfam says of the family: Transfer RNA (tRNA) molecules are approximately 80 nucleotides in length. Their secondary structure includes four short double-helical elements and three loops (D, anti-codon, and T loops). The record is from RNAcentral. Lineage: Bacteria; Pseudomonadati; Pseudomonadota; Gammaproteobacteria; Arenicellales.